This is a long non-coding RNA of Brassica napus (rape), 818 nucleotides long. RefSeq lists it as uncharacterized. Lineage: Eukaryota; Viridiplantae; Streptophyta; Magnoliopsida; Brassicales; Brassicaceae. The transcript is spliced from 2 exons. The record is from RefSeq and is a predicted model, not a curated record.
AUGCAAACUAAUUGACAUGUUUGAUUUUAGUAAAGUCUCUAUAUUUUGUUGUUUGUUCACGUAUAGUGAUCCCUGCCUUGCUCAUGAUUGGUUGAUAUGAAACAGUUUGAUCGUUUUGAUGCAUUUUGAUGAUAUGAGCUAGUUAGUUGUUUCUUCUAGUAUCACUGAUGUUCUGUUUUAUCUAGCUUGAUCGACUCAUUUGCAUGGGUUUAAUUUUUAAAUGUGAACUGUUCUGUUCCAUAAAAAACUCAAGUCUUUAAUUAUGAUGUGUUGUGUUGGCUUUGUAAGCUUGGUUUUGUUGUUGUUAGCAUACACAUUCUGCUUUGGGUUGUGUGUGUUGCGAUUGACACAUAGCUUUUCUUUGGGAGCAGCAUUCAGUUCUCCGACGUCUAGCAAGUAUAGCUUUGAGUUCUCAGGUGGUGGUGGAGGAGGGAAAGGAAGAAGAUUCGUGGAGGUUUUGGUUGGGUUCGUAGUCGAGAGGUACUUUACUGUCUCUUCUUUUCUGAUGCACUUUUGGUUCUUUGGCAUUGGAUCAUCUUGAGUGGCUUGGUGCUAUGUUUUGUAGAAACUAGUGUUUGGAUUAGUCGUCAGGAAAUUUCAGUUCUGAUAUUGAGGCAGUUUGUGUGUAGUCUUUUACUAAUCAUGAGAUUGAUCAAUGGAUAGAGCUUUGAAACUUGUAACUUUUUUUUUUGUUUCCACCACUCAUGUGUUUUUGUGGGGUUUUUUUUAUAAGAAUUCUUAAUUAAGAGACUAGCAUUGGAGCACUAAACUAAUUGUUUCAAAAUGUUAUAUUUUAAUAUGUUUUAUUUUAUAAAUAA